RNAcentral lists this transfer RNA (70 nucleotides) under Siganus fuscescens (mottled spinefoot). RNAcentral's name for it is "tRNA-Pro". It matches the Rfam family "tRNA". Rfam says of the family: Transfer RNA (tRNA) molecules are approximately 80 nucleotides in length. Their secondary structure includes four short double-helical elements and three loops (D, anti-codon, and T loops). Lineage: Eukaryota; Metazoa; Chordata; Actinopteri; Siganidae. The record is from RNAcentral. RNAcentral also lists the same sequence under 1 other name.
CAAAGAGUAGUUUAACUGAGAAUACUAGCUUUGGGAGUUAGUGGUAGGGGUUAAAAUCCCUUCUCUUUGA